RNAcentral lists this ribosomal RNA (410 nucleotides) under uncultured bacterium. RNAcentral describes it as "bacterial SSU rRNA". It matches the Rfam family "Bacterial small subunit ribosomal RNA", at positions 93 to 518 of the family's 1533-position model. The record is from RNAcentral.
GAGUGGCGGACGGGUGAGUAACGCGUGGGUAACCUACCUUGUACAGGGGGACAACAGUUGGAAACGACUGCUAAUACCGCAUAAGCGCACAGCUUCGCAUGAAGCAGUGUGAAAAGUUAUUUCGGUACAAGAUGGACCCGCGUCUGAUUAGCUAGUUGGUGAGGUAAUGGCCCACCAAGGCGACGAUCAGUAGCCGACCUGAGAGGGUGACCGGCCACAUUGGGACUGAGACACGGCCCAAACUCCUACGGGAGGCAGCAGUGGGGAAUAUUGCACAAUGGGCGCAAGGCCUGAUGCAGCGAACCGCCGCGUGAGCGAAGAAGUAUUUCGGUAUGUAAAGCUCUAUCAGCAGGGAAGACAAUGACGGUACCUGACUAAGAAGCACCGGCUAAAUACGUGCCAGCAGCUGC